Cavia porcellus (domestic guinea pig) is the source of this 306-nucleotide unclassified non-coding RNA. Its record names the gene 7SK. It matches the Rfam family "7SK RNA". From Rfam's summary of the family: 7SK was discovered as an abundant small nuclear RNA in the mid-70s but a possible function has only recently been suggested. Two independent studies have found that 7SK RNA binds the CDK9/cyclin T complex (known as elongation factor P-TEFb). NCBI's taxonomy places the organism in Eukaryota, Metazoa, Chordata, Mammalia, Rodentia, Caviidae. The record is from Ensembl.
GGAUGUGAGGGCAAUCUAGCUACAACAUUUGUCACCCCACUGAUCGUGGGGUUGAUAUUGCUGAUUUGGCUGGCUAGGCCAGCCUUCAAUGCUCCCUCAAUGCUCCGUCAAUGCUCCAUAUACCUCCCUUUUGAAGCUGCACACUUGGUCGAAGAGGAAAAGCACCCCUGAUAGAGGAGGACCAUUACUCAGUCCAGAAUAUACAAGCAGCUGCACUUCCUUGCAGAUUCUCCAAACAAACUCUCAGAGAAAGUCCAAGACAUUUUCUGAAGUCAAAAAUGAAUAUAAAACAAAAGACUAGUAUUU